Long non-coding RNA from Equus caballus (horse), 1585 nucleotides. NCBI's taxonomy places the organism in Eukaryota, Metazoa, Chordata, Mammalia, Perissodactyla, Equidae. The record is from Ensembl.
UGAGACUCAAGAGGGCAAAGCAAAAGAUGUACGUCUUAAAGGGACUCAUUUCUUGGAAGAAGUUUAGACAGCUUACUUCUGGAAAGCACAGUUCUUCCACAUCCACCCUUUAUGUUUUGCUUUCUUUCCAUUCAUUCAUUCUCAUCAGAAAUCACCAAACUCAGUUAGGCAUUAUGGAAAGAAAGACAAGAACCCAACCGGGGUGGAAGACUUCAAGAGUGAUCAGAGAAGGCUGUAUGGAACAGAGAUUGAAGAAAACAGAAACAAGACGUGCCAAACUGGGCAGCCUGCAGAGCCCCUCUCUGAUGCAAGACCGUGGAUGCUGUUUCCGGCUCGGUCCUGCCUGGACAGGAUUUGCUGGUGGCAAAUAAUUUCCUCUUCCUGAGCCCCGCACAAAACAUUUUAAGGAUCGAACUCCCGAUUCAACAGGUUUCUUGACAUCUAAUCACAGCCGCCUGGUUGUAUUGCUGACAGUCUAUUAACAUUCCAAAUCAGCUUAUUAGGUCUUUAUGUAUUUCUUCAGUGAAUAAAAACAAGAAUUCUAGCAGAAGUUUCUUUUUAAAUCAUAACCUGGAAACCAUCAAAGCAAUAAGGUACAAAAACCUAAAGGAUUCAUCAUCAAGUUGCUGUCAAAGGAAAAGAAAACAAAAAUUGUGGAGGUCGUUUGACAUAGCAACCACGGCUCCCCUAAUAAAAAAUAAAAUACCAUGCAUGCAGAUGCUGACCAAGACAAAGGAAAGAAAUAGUGUCUAUUAAAGAUUUUUCAGCUAAGUGGCCAUUUUCAUUUAACAAUCCUUAGCAUCAUGAUAAAAUUAAAUAAAUUUAAGUUUUCACAUCUGUAUGUACCUGUUUCCACAAAACACUUGAAAUAGUUUAAAACAAGAUAGUAUGGUAAGAGGAUCUGUCAAGAGAAAUAAUUUCUCCAGAAGGAAUUAAAGUUGCAAAAUAAAAAUUUCUCCCUAACAAUAUUGUGGAGGGUCUAUGCUCUGCUUGGAAACAUGUUGUCAACAGAAGGAUAUCUCCAAAGAACUGGACAUAGAGCACAGACCCCAGGGAAUGUUGGCGAGGGCUCCUAUGACUCCCUGCAGGAGCCGGUCACUUCUGCGGUCCAUCGGGAGAAUUGGAGCCCUACAGAUGGUGAAAGAACACUGCCUGCUUAACAGUACCUGCAUCAACUCUCCUGGACUAAGAACCCUCGCCCCCUUUUUCAAGACCAAGCCAGCCUCUGGAGUUCCUGAACAAUGCAAAGAGUCAAGCCAUAAUAAGACUAAUGUAAUAUUCUUCUGCUAACCCUGGAGAUGGAAGAAUACCAAUUUGUUCUUACCUGUUUUUUAAAAAAGUGAAAAGUAUAAUAUUUUUUACACAAUAUUGUGAUUGAUAUCUGUUUCAAUAGUAAAAUAUAAACGGACCUAGGAAAUUCAACCCAAAUAAAAAGUAGACAUAAAUAUGCCAACUCUAGUGGUCAAUAUGGCUAUCUUCGGCUCUGUGCUAUUUUGAAAUGAUCAGUCUGUUUUGAAGAGCAAGUAGGAUUUCUUUUAAAAAGAGAAGUUCCAAAGCAGGUUUAUUACUAUGACUUAACUUGAGC